RNAcentral lists this ribosomal RNA (261 nucleotides) under uncultured prokaryote. Its description in RNAcentral is "partial 16S ribosomal RNA". It matches the Rfam family "Bacterial small subunit ribosomal RNA", at positions 524 to 784 of the family's 1533-position model. The record is from RNAcentral.
UACGUAGGUGGCAAGCGUUAUCCGGAAUUAUUGGGCGUAAAGAGCGCGCAGGUGGUUGAUUAAGUCUGAUGUGAAAGCCCACGGCUUAACCGUGGAGGGUCAUUGGAAACUGGUCGACUUGAGUGCAGAAGAGGGAAGUGGAAUUCCAUGUGUAGCGGUGAAAUGCGUAGAGAUAUGGAGGAACACCAGUGGCAAAGGCGGCUUCCUGGUCUGUAACUGACACUGAGGCGCGAAAGCGUGGGGAGCAAACAGGAUUAGAUA